This 313-nucleotide unclassified non-coding RNA is filed under the name Rozellomycota sp. Its description in RNAcentral is "Cryptomycota sp. partial contains small subunit ribosomal RNA, internal transcribed spacer 1, and 5.8S ribosomal RNA". The stretch from base 1 to 47 matches the Rfam family "Eukaryotic small subunit ribosomal RNA", at positions 1785 to 1831 of the family's 1831-position model. The record is from RNAcentral. Lineage: Eukaryota; Fungi; Rozellomycota.
AAAGUCGUAACAAGGUUUCCGUAGGUGAACCUGCGGAAGGAUCAUUAACAAAUCAUGUUGGUGCCUGGCCUUUGGGUCAAGGCCCAUAUAAACCCGAACCCGUGCAGCAAUGCCGGGCGAGGUGUGUGGUGUGGUGGGUGGUGUCCUUUUGGAUGCUGUCUGCUGGGCUUCACGCGGUGAAGAGCAAUGGGUUGCAUCUCGCUUAAUCUCGAGGUGGAAGCCAGCGGUCGGAUCCACAUAGACGCUUGUAUGUUUGACAGAGUUAGUUGACACUUAAAAAUGACAACUUUUAACAAUGGAUCUCUUGGCUCUU